This 2939-nucleotide ribosomal RNA is filed under the name Priestia megaterium. RNAcentral's name for it is "bacterial LSU rRNA". It matches the Rfam family "Bacterial large subunit ribosomal RNA". The record is from RNAcentral. Lineage: Bacteria; Bacillati; Bacillota; Bacilli; Caryophanales; Bacillaceae.
AUGGUUAAGUUAGAAAGGGCGCACGGUGAAUGCCUUGGCACUAGGAGCCGAUGAAGGACGGGACUAACACCGAUAUGCUUCGGGGAGCUGUAAGUGAGCUUUGAUCCGGAGAUUUCCGAAUGGGGAAACCCACUGUUCGUAAUGGAACAGUAUCUUUAUCUGAAUACAUAGGAUAUUGAAGGCAGACCCGGGGAACUGAAACAUCUAAGUACCCGGAGGAAGAGAAAGCAAAUGCGAUUUCCUGAGUAGCGGCGAGCGAAACGGAAUUAGCCCAAACCAAGAGGCUUGCCUCUUGGGGUUGUAGGACACUCUAUACGGAGUUACAAAGGAACGAAGUAAAUGAAGCGACCUGGAAAGGUCCGUCAAAGAAGGUAACAACCCUGUAGUUGAAACUUCGUUCCCUCUUGAGUGGAUCCUGAGUACGGCGGAACACGUGAAAUUCCGUCGGAAGCUGGGAGGACCAUCUCCCAAGGCUAAAUACUACCUAGUGACCGAUAGUGAACCAGUACCGUGAGGGAAAGGUGAAAAGCACCCCGGAAGGGGAGUGAAAGAGAUCCUGAAACCGUGUGCCUACAAGUAGUCAGAGCCCGUUAAUGGGUGAUGGCGUGCCUUUUGUAGAAUGAACCGGCGAGUUACGAUCCCAUGCAAGGUUAAGCUGAUAAGGCGGAGCCGUAGCGAAAGCGAGUCUGAAUAGGGCGUUUAGUAUGUGGUUGUAGACCCGAAACCAGGUGAUCUACCCAUGUCCAGGGUGAAGUUCAGGUAACACUGAAUGGAGGCCCGAACCCACGCACGUUGAAAAGUGCGGGGAUGAGGUGUGGGUAGCGGAGAAAUUCCAAUCGAACCUGGAGAUAGCUGGUUCUCUCCGAAAUAGCUUUAGGGCUAGCCUCAUGUUGUGAGAGUCUUGGAGGUAGAGCACUGAUUGGACUAGGGGCCCCCAACGGGUUACCGAAUUCAGUCAAACUCCGAAUGCCAAAGACUUAUCCAUGGGAGUCAGACUGCGAGUGAUAAGAUCCGUAGUCAAAAGGGAAACAGCCCAGACCACCAGCUAAGGUCCCCAAGUAUACGUUAAGUGGAAAAGGAUGUGGAGUUGCUUAGACAACCAGGAUGUUGGCUUAGAAGCAGCCACCAUUUAAAGAGUGCGUAAUAGCUCACUGGUCGAGUGACUCUGCGCCGAAAAUGUACCGGGGCUAAACGUAUCACCGAAGCUGUGGAUUGACAUCUUAGAUGUCAGUGGUAGGAGAGCGUUCUAAGUGCUGUGAAGUCAGACCGUAAGGACUGGUGGAGCGCUUAGAAGUGAGAAUGCCGGUAUGAGUAGCGAAAGACAAGUGAGAAUCUUGUCCACCGAAUGCCUAAGGUUUCCUGAGGAAGGCUCGUCCGCUCAGGGUUAGUCGGGACCUAAGCCGAGGCUGAAAAGCGUAGGCGAUGGCCAACAGGUUGAUAUUCCUGUACCACCUCCCCGCCGUUUGAGUAAUGGGGGGACGCAGUAGGAUAGGGUAAGCGCGCUGCUGGAUAUGCGCGUUCAAGCAGUUAGGCUGAUGAGUAGGCAAAUCCGCUCAUCAUAAAGGCUGAGCUGUGAUGACGAGGGAAUUAUAGUACCGAAGUUCCUGAUUCCACACUGCCAAGAAAAGCCUCUAGCGAGGCGGGAGGUGCCCGUACCGCAAACCGACACAGGUAGGCGAGGAGAGAAUCCUAAGGUGAUCGAGAGAACUCUCGUUAAGGAACUCGGCAAAAUGACCCCGUAACUUCGGGAGAAGGGGUGCUCUGGUAGGGUGUAUAGCCCGAGAGAGCCGCAGUGAAUAGGCCCAGGCGACUGUUUAGCAAAAACACAGGUCUCUGCGAAGCCGCAAGGCGAAGUAUAGGGGCUGACGCCUGCCCGGUGCUGGAAGGUUAAGAGGAGGGGUUAUCCUUUGGGAGAAGCUCUGAAUCGAAGCCCCAGUAAACGGCGGCCGUAACUAUAACGGUCCUAAGGUAGCGAAAUUCCUUGUCGGGUAAGUUCCGACCCGCACGAAAGGCGUAACGAUCUGGGCACUGUCUCAACGAGAGACUCGGUGAAAUUAUAGUACCUGUGAAGAUGCAGGUUACCCGCGACAGGACGGAAAGACCCCGUGGAGCUUUACUGUAGCCUGAUAUUGAAUUUUGGUACAGCUUGUACAGGAUAGGUAGGAGCCUGAGAAGCCGGAGCGCUAGCUUCGGUGGAGGCGUCGGUGGGAUACUACCCUGGCUGUAUUGAAAUUCUAACCCGCGGCCCUGAUCGGGCCGGGAGACAGUGUCAGGUGGGCAGUUUGACUGGGGCGGUCGCCUCCUAAAAUGUAACGGAGGCGCCCAAAGGUUCCCUCAGAAUGGUUGGAAAUCAUUCGUAGAGUGUAAAGGCACAAGGGAGCUUGACUGCGAGACCUACAAGUCGAGCAGGGACGAAAGUCGGGCUUAGUGAUCCGGUGGUUCCGCAUGGAAGGGCCAUCGCUCAACGGAUAAAAGCUACCCCGGGGAUAACAGGCUUAUCUCCCCCAAGAGUCCACAUCGACGGGGAGGUUUGGCACCUCGAUGUCGGCUCAUCGCAUCCUGGGGCUGUAGUCGGUCCCAAGGGUUGGGCUGUUCGCCCAUUAAAGCGGUACGCGAGCUGGGUUCAGAACGUCGUGAGACAGUUCGGUCCCUAUCCGUCGUGGGCGUAGGAAAUUUGAGAGGAGCUGUCCUUAGUACGAGAGGACCGGGAUGGACACACCGCUGGUGUACCAGUUGUCUUGCCAAAGGCAUCGCUGGGUAGCUAUGUGUGGACGGGAUAAGUGCUGAAAGCAUCUAAGCAUGAAGCCCCCCUCAAGAUGAGAUUUCCCAUAGCGCAAGCUAGUAAGAUCCCUGAAAGAUGAUCAGGUUGAUAGGUCAGAGGUGGAAGCGUGGCGACAUGUGUAGCUGACUGAUACUAAUCGAUCGAGGACUUAACCAAA